This 1141-nucleotide long non-coding RNA is filed under the name Coturnix japonica (Japanese quail). RNAcentral describes it as "lncRNA (ENSCJPG00005003183.1)". The record is from RNAcentral. Lineage: Eukaryota; Metazoa; Chordata; Aves; Galliformes; Phasianidae.
UAAGUGAUAUAUCACUUUUCCUAUUAGGAUUUAAUUUGCUUUAGCGUGAAGAGAUCAGCAAGUGAGUUCUGUUUUAAUUAGACAGGUACUAAACAGUUUGAUAGUAAUGUGAAUGCUGACAAGCUGGAGUGCUCACUGGUCCAUGAACAGAAACGAUAUUACAGCAUUCAACCUGCUUGAAGAGGAAAAAGUCCCUUAAAUAUUUUACACGCAAUGGGAAAAUGGAAAAGAAAGGUAUGCAGAACUCUGAGAUGAAAUAUGCGUAAUAAGGUAUCAGAGAUGACCUGUAACCCACCUGUAAAACUUGUUAGCUACCAGUCUGUAGCUUCUGCUCCUUGACAGAGACCUGAUUUAGCAACAUUGGUUGCAGGUAGGGAUGUAAAAUGAGAACACAGAGCCUGGAAAGCUGUCUCUCAUAACCAAGAUUUUGGAACACUCAGUGCAGAGACCAGUCCCUGAGAAGAGCAAGUCCUAAAUGUGUCAAGGAAAGCAGUAUGCAUGAACAAUGAGAAGCACACAAAGGUUGAACUUGUUCAGGAAACCUACCUUGGUGUCUUCACUAUCUGCUUUUGGAACAGAUGCUCAUAUACAGAUCUCCUCAUCUAUGUAUGCGCUGCUGCUUAUGUGCUGAGGAAUGCAGGAGAGGGAGGAGGGUUCAGCCUGCAAGGAGAGUGGGACCAAAGAGCCUAAAAUACGCCCUUCUGGGAUCCACUGUGGUCCAUGAAGCCCAGGUUUCAGUCUGAUAGCAACAAAAGGAAAUAAUGAGCAUGCCAGCCACCCACUUCUGCCACUUCUGCCACAACACAGGUUUUAGGUACAACAUAAUAUUUUUUUUAUACAGCUGAAGGAUGAAUGUUUAAAAAAAGAAAUCACAAUGAAAACAAUUACUUGUGGGAGAACAUUAAGUAAGAUCAAACUGACUCAUGCUUUAUCUUACACAUAACACUAAUAUUUUGAAGUCAGCUAAGUGCUUUUUACAUAGUAAAAAGCAGAGUAUGAGCCUAUAUGUAUCUGAAGAACAAAUGCAUCCAGGAGAGAAAAGGUUACUUAUCUUUCGAAGAAAGUCAACAGAAAUUCAGUAGUGAUAGCAUGAUAUGAGACCUCUGUAAUCUGAAAAAUAAAAUAAAAUAAAAUAAAAACA